Long non-coding RNA from Lotus japonicus, 1944 nucleotides. RefSeq lists it as uncharacterized. NCBI's taxonomy places the organism in Eukaryota, Viridiplantae, Streptophyta, Magnoliopsida, Fabales, Fabaceae. The transcript is spliced from 6 exons. The record is from RefSeq and is a predicted model, not a curated record.
GUGGUUCACCCUAGCCUUCAGAAGAGAACAUAAAUUUUGAAUUUUCUUUUCUGUUUCCAAGUUCUCUUUAUUCAUUCACCUCCUGUUUCCACUCACCUCCUCGGUUCACCCACUAGUGCUCCACAACAUAUUAUUUUUCAAAUUCUGCUCAAAUUCCAAAUUCAGUCACCCUCCACAAUAUCAUCCUUUCACCUCACACCGUCUUCUUAUUCCUCUUCAUCUCUUUCCCUAUUUCUUCUAUCUUCAUUUUCCAAGCACAUCUGGCCAUAGCUCACUCCUCCUCCGCUCUAUAGUAUCCCAUAACCAGAAGUCGUCUUCUUCCUCGAGAGCCACUACUUAUACCUCGCCGCUGGCGUUCCCCCCGCCUAUACGACACCCCCAUAGCCGCGGUCGUCGCAGUUUCAUCCUCCGAGCCACAAUCGCUCGAAUUCUACUCCUCUCCCUCCCUGUUGCGUUCACCGUCCCUCUCCUGCUCUCGCGCCCUUUACGAGCUCCGAUCCCAAAGGUCCCUCGGCUAGAAACCCUCCUCCUCCUCCAACGGAACCCGCUGUCGUGGAUUCCGACUCAGAGUUGGAGAAAUUGGAGUCUGAUUUGAAUGGAAUGGCGCACAAGAUUCUGAAAUUGGAGCUUCCAAAAACCCUCUGGAGUUGAUGGUGUUUGCUCAUUCAUGACCUUUCUCUCAGAUUGCGCACAAGCAUAAAUUGAUAAUUAUAUGCUGGGUUGUGGCUCAUUUAACUGCAAAAUUGUUUUGGUUCAUCUGUUAUCUGAACUCAACAUGUGAUCAGAUUGUUUACAUGUUUAAUACAUUAAUACAUAGGCUAUGCUAAGGAGGUUUGACAAGGUUCUAAUUAAAUGGGCGUUUUGCCUCUGUUUGGGAAGUGAAUGUUGCGGCUAUUGUUGCAGAGAAUAAGCAAUCAGCAGAGGAACGGAAAGAACCUUUCUUAGUUCGAGUAAUUUGGGGAAUUGCAAUGAACCAAUUGUUGAUGUUUUGUAUUGCUCCUAAUUUUUUAAUGUGUUUCUCACUCCCAUUCUGAUGCAUUCUUUUCCUUCUUGAAAUUACAUUCUUUUGUUCUUCAUGUAUAGUACAUUGGCAUAGGACGCCAAUGUAUUCUACUAACUAGCUGAUAGAUAAGUGUAUUUCCUAGCUGAAUAGAUAAGUGUAUUUCAUAAAUACAUGGUGUGUAGGAUUGCUUCACAAGUCUUCUUGCUUACUUUGGGUUCCUUUUCCUUCAAGUUUUUUUGAUGUAAUUCCGGGCAUGUUUUUUACAAUUGUGUAAUUGAGGUUACUAUUGAUUAUGCAGGUAUUGGAACUUCUCUGUGGUAGAGAACAUAAAGAGGGGAUGGCGGGAUCUAAUUGUCCAAUGGAAUAAUAUUUCAACUAUGGCUGCGAGCAGGUGAUGAGGAUGGCCAUGUCUGCAUAUCCCUACUAUAUUAGAAGCUUCCAUAUGUAUAUACAAGGUGGUGAAAAGGAUCUUGAAGGGGAAGAAGAUUGGAGCAUGUAUUUAGUAGACAGUGUAAAGGAAUGGAGUGAUGUUUAAGCAUAUGGUUUCACUAGAAAGAUGAACUGGACAUGAUUCUAUAAAGAAGGAAGUGGCUUGACCACGCUUGACCAAACUUGAAUGAAUGUAUUUUCCACAUAGUAUGCUUCACAAGAAAUCCGAGAAUGAAGUGCGCUUACUACUAUGAAAGAGUUGCUUGACCUAUUUGAAUUCCUCCCUUAUGAUUAAGAGCUCUAUGUUUGGAGAUUGUCUUGGCUAUAUGAAAACAUUGUGCCUAAGUCUCUACUUCAAACAUUGUGCCCUACCUUAUAUUAUACGAGGUUUAGAAAUAUAAGUCUACAUGAUGUUGUUUCCUUUUGCUGACAGACAAAGUUUCUUGCUGUAUGAUGCUUUGUUUGAACUUACUUUGGUUGUUGCUGCCCACACAUGGUGUUGUUCACUGUUA